UGGGGAAUUUUGGACAAUGGGCGCAAGCCUGAUCCAGCAAUGCCGCGUGCAGGAUGAAGGCCUUCGGGUUGUAAACUGCUUUUGUACGGAACGAAACGGUCUGCUUUAAUACAGUGGGCUAAUGACGGUACCGUAAGAAUAAGCACCGGCUAACUACGUGCCAGCAGCCGCGGUAAUACGUAGGGUGCGAGCGUUAAUCGGAAUUACUGGGCGUAAAGCGUGCGCAGGCGGUUAUAUAAGACAGAUGUGAAAUCCCCGGGCUCAACCUGGGACCUGCAUUUGUGACUGUAUAGCUAGAGUACGGUAGAGGGGGAUGGAAUUCCGCGUGUAGCAGUGAAAUGCGUAGAUAUGCGGAGGAACACCGAUGGCGAAGGCAGGUCUCUGGGCCAUUACUGACACUGAGGAGCGAAAGCGUGGGGAGCGAACAGG
RNAcentral lists this ribosomal RNA (429 nucleotides) under uncultured bacterium. RNAcentral's name for it is "bacterial SSU rRNA". It matches the Rfam family "Bacterial small subunit ribosomal RNA", at positions 355 to 776 of the family's 1533-position model. The record is from RNAcentral.